Molecule: ribosomal RNA, 430 nt
Filed under: uncultured bacterium
Lineage: Bacteria
Description: partial 16S ribosomal RNA
Rfam family: Bacterial small subunit ribosomal RNA
Source: RNAcentral
GUGGGGAAUAUUGCACAAUGGGCGCAAGCCUGAUGCAGCAACGCCGCGUGAGGGAUGACGGCCUUCGGGUUGUAAACCUCUUUUAGUAGGGAAGAAGCGAAAGUGACGGUACCUGCAGAAAAAGCACCGGCUAACUACGUGUCAGCAGCCGCGGUAAUACGUAGGGUGCAAGCGUUGUCCGGAAUUAUUGGACGUAAAGAGCUCGUAGGCGGCUUGUCGCGUCUGCUGUGAAAUCCCGGGGCUCAACCCCGGGCCUGCAGUGGGUACGGGCAGGCUAGAGUGCGGGAGGGGAGAUUGGAAUUCCUGGUGUAGCGGUGGAAUGCGCAGAUAUCAGGAGGAACACCGAUGGCGAAGGCAGAUCUCUGGGCCGCUACUGACGCUGAGGAGCGAAAGCAUGGGGAGCGAACAGGAUUAGAAACCCUGGUAGUCC